UCAGAGCUGUGGGUCUUGGGGCUCAGGGCCUGGUACACAGUAGGAGGUCAUUAAACAUCCCACACUGGUCAGUUACAGCCUCCUACGUCCCAGCUGUGCGUUUCCUGUGAAAAGAAUAAUGAUCAGCAGCACAAGUUCUAUAAGGGCAGAACCAUGUCUGUCUCCAGAGCCUGGCACAAGGCCUGACACCUAAAGAGCACCCAAAGAACAUCUGUGCCAUCAAUGAAUGAAUGAAUGAAUGAAGCAAUGGUUCCAUCUUGCUCUUGUCUGGGCUCCAGAGCCUGGUAUUCAGAAAAUGUCAUUUCAGCAGAGAACUAACUGGAUGUGGCUGCGGCAGCCCUGAAGAGCCCAUAGAAGAAAAGUUUGAAUUCCCCAGAAUCAGCCCAUUCUUGCAUUAAUUUCAAAACAUAGUUGAGUGCCUACUGUGUGUGCCAGGCACUGGUGGUGGUGAUACAGCAGUAAGCAAGAGAGACAGUAAAAAAUACAGACAAGCAA
This 495-nucleotide long non-coding RNA is filed under the name Homo sapiens (human). Its description in RNAcentral is "non-protein coding NEURL1-AS1:2". Lineage: Eukaryota; Metazoa; Chordata; Mammalia; Primates; Hominidae. The record is from RNAcentral.